GGGUUGUGAGGUUAAGCGACUAAGCGUACACGGUGGAUGCCCUGGCAGUCAGAGGCGAUGAAGGACGUGCUAAUCUGCGAUAAGCGUCGGUAAGGUGAUAUGAACCGUUAUAACCGGCGAUUUCCGAAUGGGGAAACCCAGUGUGUUUCGACACACUAUCAUUAACUGAAUCCAUAGGUUAAUGAGGCGAACCGGGGGAACUGAAACAUCUAAGUACCCCGAGGAAAAGAAAUCAACCGAGAUUCCCCCAGUAGCGGCGAGCGAACGGGGAGCAGCCCAGAGCCUGAAUCAGUGUGUGUGUUAGUGGAAGCGUCUGGAAAGGCGCGCGAUACAGGGUGACAGCCCCGUACACAAAAAUGCACAUACUGUGAGCUCGAUGAGUAGGGCGGGACACGUGGUAUCCUGUCUGAAUAUGGGGGGACCAUCCUCCAAGGCUAAAUACUCCUGACUGACCGAUAGUGAACCAGUACCGUGAGGGAAAGGCGAAAAGAACCCCGGCGAGGGGAGUGAAAAAGAACCUGAAACCGUGUACGUACAAGCAGUGGGAGCCUCUUUUAUGGGGUGACUGCGUACCUUUUGUAUAAUGGGUCAGCGACUUAUAUUCUGUAGCAAGGUUAACCGAAUAGGGGAGCCGAAGGGAAACCGAGUCUUAACCGGGCGUUAAGUUGCAGGGUAUAGACCCGAAACCCGGUGAUCUAGCCAUGGGCAGGUUGAAGGUUGGGUAACACUAACUGGAGGACCGAACCGACUAAUGUUGAAAAAUUAGCGGAUGACUUGUGGCUGGGGGUGAAAGGCCAAUCAAACCGGGAGAUAGCUGGUUCUCCCCGAAAGCUAUUUAGGUAGCGCCUCGUGAAUUCAUCUCCGGGGGUAGAGCACUGUUUCGGCAAGGGGGUCAUCCCGACUUACCAACCCGAUGCAAACUGCGAAUACCGGAGAAUGUUAUCACGGGAGACACACGGCGGGUGCUAACGUCCGUCGUGAAGAGGGAAACAACCCAGACCGCCAGCUAAGGUCCCAAAGUCAUGGUUAAGUGGGAAACGAUGUGGGAAGGCCCAGACAGCCAGGAUGUUGGCUUAGAAGCAGCCAUCAUUUAAAGAAAGCGUAAUAGCUCACUGGUCGAGUCGGCCUGCGCGGAAGAUGUAACGGGGCUAAACCAUGCACCGAAGCUGCGGCAGCGACACUGUGUGUUGUUGGGUAGGGGAGCGUUCUGUAAGCCUGUGAAGGUGUACUGUAAGGUAUGCUGGAGGUAUCAGAAGUGCGAAUGCUGACAUAAGUAACGAUAAAGCGGGUGAAAAGCCCGCUCGCCGGAAGACCAAGGGUUCCUGUCCAACGUUAAUCGGGGCAGGGUGAGUCGACCCCUAAGGCGAGGCCGAAAGGCGUAGUCGAUGGGAAACAGGUUAAUAUUCCUGUACUUGGUGUUACUGCGAAGGGGGACGGAGAAGGCUAUGUUGGCCGGGCGACGGUUGUCCCGGUUUAAGCGUGUAGGCUGGUUUUCCAGGCAAAUCCGGAAAAUCAAGGCUGAGGCGUGAUGACGAGGCACUACGGUGCUGAAGCAACAAAUGCCCUGCUUCCAGGAAAAGCCUCUAAGCAUCAGGUAACAUCAAAUCGUACCCCAAACCGACACAGGUGGUCAGGUAGAGAAUACCAAGGCGCUUGAGAGAACUCGGGUGAAGGAACUAGGCAAAAUGGUGCCGUAACUUCGGGAGAAGGCACGCUGAUAUGUAGGUGAAGUCCCUCGCGGAUGGAGCUGAAAUCAGUCGAAGAUACCAGCUGGCUGCAACUGUUUAUUAAAAACACAGCACUGUGCAAACACGAAAGUGGACGUAUACGGUGUGACGCCUGCCCGGUGCCGGAAGGUUAAUUGAUGGGGUCAGCGCAAGCGAAGCUCUUGAUCGAAGCCCCGGUAAACGGCGGCCGUAACUAUAACGGUCCUAAGGUAGCGAAAUUCCUUGUCGGGUAAGUUCCGACCUGCACGAAUGGCGUAAUGAUGGCCAGGCUGUCUCCACCCGAGACUCAGUGAAAUUGAACUCGCUGUGAAGAUGCAGUGUACCCGCGGCAAGACGGAAAGACCCCGUGAACCUUUACUAUAGCUUGACACUGAACAUUGAGCCUUGAUGUGUAGGAUAGGUGGGAGGCUUUGAAGUGUGGACGCCAGUCUGCAUGGAGCCGACCUUGAAAUACCACCCUUUAAUGUUUGAUGUUCUAACGUGGACCCGUGAUCCGGGUUGCGGACAGUGUCUGGUGGGUAGUUUGACUGGGGCGGUCUCCUCCUAAAGAGUAACGGAGGAGCACGAAGGUUGGCUAAUCCUGGUCGGACAUCAGGAGGUUAGUGCAAUGGCAUAAGCCAGCUUGACUGCGAGCGUGACGGCGCGAGCAGGUGCGAAAGCAGGUCAUAGUGAUCCGGUGGUUCUGAAUGGAAGGGCCAUCGCUCAACGGAUAAAAGGUACUCCGGGGAUAACAGGCUGAUACCGCCCAAGAGUUCAUAUCGACGGCGGUGUUUGGCACCUCGAUGUCGGCUCAUCACAUCCUGGGGCUGAAGUAGGUCCCAAGGGUAUGGCUGUUCGCCAUUUAAAGUGGUACGCGAGCUGGGUUUAGAACGUCGUGAGACAGUUCGGUCCCUAUCUGCCGUGGGCGCUGGAGAACUGAGGGGGGCUGCUCCUAGUACGAGAGGACCGGAGUGGACGCAUCACUGGUGUUCGGGUUGUCAUGCCAAUGGCACUGCCCGGUAGCUAAAUGCGGAAGAGAUAAGUGCUGAAAGCAUCUAAGCACGAAACUUGCCCCGAGAUGAGUUCUCCCUGACCCUUUAAGGGUCCUGAAGGAACGUUGAAGACGACGACGUUGAUAGGCCGGGUGUGUAAGCGCAGCGAUGCGUUGAGCUAACCGGUACUAAUGAACCGUGAGGCUUAACCUUACAACGCCGAAGGUGUUU
RNAcentral lists this ribosomal RNA (2929 nucleotides) under Escherichia coli. Its description in RNAcentral is "bacterial LSU rRNA". It matches the Rfam family "Bacterial large subunit ribosomal RNA". The record is from RNAcentral. Lineage: Bacteria; Pseudomonadati; Pseudomonadota; Gammaproteobacteria; Enterobacterales; Enterobacteriaceae.